This is a non-coding RNA of Mus musculus (house mouse), 68 nucleotides long. NCBI's taxonomy places the organism in Eukaryota, Metazoa, Chordata, Mammalia, Rodentia, Muridae. The record is from Rfam.
UUGGCUUAUUCAGAUUUCUGUCCAAAGUGCUUCCUGCACUUUCAAGGGGACUGUGGGGGUUCUCUAAG